Molecule: transfer RNA, 90 nt
Filed under: Methylobacterium sp. WL9
Lineage: Bacteria; Pseudomonadati; Pseudomonadota; Alphaproteobacteria; Hyphomicrobiales; Methylobacteriaceae
Description: tRNA-Arg
Rfam family: tRNA
About the family: Transfer RNA (tRNA) molecules are approximately 80 nucleotides in length. Their secondary structure includes four short double-helical elements and three loops (D, anti-codon, and T loops). Further hydrogen bonds mediate the characteristic L-shaped molecular structure. tRNAs have two regions of fundamental functional importance: the anti-codon, which is responsible for specific mRNA codon recognition, and the 3' end, to which the tRNAs corresponding amino acid is attached (by aminoacyl-tRNA synthetases). tRNAs cope with the degeneracy of the genetic code in two manners: having more than one tRNA (with a specific anti-codon) for a particular amino acid; and 'wobble' base-pairing, i.e. permitting non-standard base-pairing at the 3rd anti-codon position.
Source: RNAcentral
CGCAGCGUAGCUCAGCGGAAAGAGCACUCGCUUCCUACGUACAGCAAUGUGCGGGCGAGAAGGUCGCAGGUUCGAGUCCUGCCGCUGCGU